This is a non-coding RNA of Pelobates cultripes (western spadefoot toad), 281 nucleotides long. NCBI's taxonomy places the organism in Eukaryota, Metazoa, Chordata, Amphibia, Anura, Pelobatidae. The record is from the annotation of a GenBank genome assembly.
AUAGUCCUGAAUGGUUAGGCUACCAUUUAUGAAGAAAUACAUAACCAUCUGUCCGCAUGGUCAAAGUAGUAUUAAUAUUUGGCUACAUACAGCAGUCACUGCAGCUGACACUUGUCUUUAUUGAGUAUGUAGUUGCUAUCAGCAGUUGUAUGUAUUAUGAAAUUUAGAGGAAUAUCAUAUUUUCUCAAAGCUAAUCAAAUGUCUAAUAUCUUUAUACAAGUCUCUUUACUAGCAGGAGAGCAUGUAACGCCAUGUAUUCUGAUAAAGUAGCCAAGGUGUAU